RNAcentral lists this ribosomal RNA (433 nucleotides) under uncultured bacterium. RNAcentral's name for it is "partial 16S ribosomal RNA". It matches the Rfam family "Bacterial small subunit ribosomal RNA", at positions 29 to 507 of the family's 1533-position model. The record is from RNAcentral.
AACGAACGCUGGCGGCAGGCUUAACACAUGCAAGUCGAGCGCAUCCUUCGGGGUGAGCGGCGGACGGGUGAGUAACGCGUGGGAACAUGCCCUCUUCUACGGAAUAGCCUCGGGAAACUGAGAGUAAUGCCGUAUACGCCCGCAAGGGGAAAGAUUUAUCGGAGGAGGAUCGGCCCGCGUUGGAUUAGGUAGUUGGUGGGGUAACGGCCUACCAAGCCGACGAUCCAUAGCUGGUUUGAGAGGAUGAUCAGCCACACUGGGACUGAGACACGGCCCAGACUCCUACGGGAGGCAGCAGUGGGGAAUCUUGGACAAUGGGGGCAACCCUGAUCCAGCCAUGCCGCGUGAUCGAUGAAGGCCUUAGGGUUGUAAAGAUCUUUCAGCUGGGAAGAUAAUGACGGUACCAGCAGAAGAAGCCCCGGCUAACUCCGUG